RNAcentral lists this long non-coding RNA (376 nucleotides) under Helianthus annuus (common sunflower). RNAcentral describes it as "sRNA HanXRQr2_Chr15g0691471". Lineage: Eukaryota; Viridiplantae; Streptophyta; Magnoliopsida; Asterales; Asteraceae. The record is from RNAcentral.
UGUGUGUCGACCAGAGUAGGAGAAAGAGAGGGAAAAACCCUCACAACCCAAAAUUCAAUAAAUUGGAAAGGAUAAUAAGGCUAAAUCUUGUGCAUGAACCCAAAUACAUGAUCAUCUAAGCAUGCUUAACAAGUGGAAGAAGGUUCAAGCAACAAGAAGCCUCAAGGCUCGCAAGAUCGAGGUAAAUCUUUGAUUUAGUUGAGAUGCCGGCUCGGAACAAACACACUACUCGACCAUAAGCGCUUCCGGAUUAAAAUUUUCAAGGGUCAAAACUUUUGUUAUAAAUUUUAGUUAAGUAGUUCCGUCAUGUAAACAUGUUAAACUCGUUCUUCGAAACUGUAUGUAAUGUUCGACAUUUUGUGGUUGUAAAAAUAGU